Molecule: RNA transcript, 2641 nt
Organism: Ostrea edulis (European flat oyster)
Lineage: Eukaryota; Metazoa; Mollusca; Bivalvia; Ostreida; Ostreidae
Exons: 3
Source: RefSeq, a predicted model, not a curated record
UUUUUUUUUUUUUUAAUUUCUGAAUUUAAUUACACGUGUUACAGAAUGUCUAUGAAGAAAUCCAUUUAACAUAUUACCUGAUUUGUUAUAUUUUUAAAGUCAAAAUAAAGUUCUGUUUUUAAUUUUCGCAAAAAAUAAUUACAAAAUAAUUAGAUUAACAUAAAAGAUACGGCAAUCAAUUUUUGACAAUAACAGAAAAUAUUAUGGUUUUGUUGGGAAAGCAAGAAACUUUGAACCUGAAUUUAAAAAAUGAUAAAAUAUUUGAUUUUUAUUACAUCAUAUGAUAUCUUGAAAAUUAAAAAAUCUGUGAUUUUUAACAAUUUCAGAGCUUUAAUAUAGAUGAAUUUCAGUCACUAGAAAAGAUGAAUUGAUUUAUUUUUGUAAAAUUUGAUUUUAAUAUUGCACGUGCAUAUCUUUUCUUUCAUUUUUUGGGUACUAAAAUGGUCAUAACUAUUGAAUUAAAAGCUGAAAUGAAUUCAAAUUUACCCUGAGGAUCUAUGAUAUAAAUGUCUAUGAAAUGGUGUCAACAAAUUUUCCAUUAUCAAAAUCGCGUGCGAGUGAAUGCGCGUGCAUUGUAAUUUUUGACGUCUAAAUUUAAGUAUUGGUGUAUAACAUUUUGAGAUUGCAAUGAAUAGGUUUGAAAAUUAGGUUGCAGGUAUGUUUUGGGCCUCUCAAUUUAUUAAUAGUCUCAAAAUCACUUGCCUGCACGCGCGUGCACGUGCGCUUAAUUCUAAUUGGACGAUUUUGAAAUCCCAAUAACUUUCCUAUGAGUGAAGCAAUCGAUACCAAAUUCAUAUAGUAAGUAUAUUGUUCAAAUGUCUAUUGAAUAGCAUCAACAAAAUUGCUGUGUGAUACUCACGCGCACGUGUAUGCACGUGCAUUGAUUUCGGUCUUUGUAGUUUUGAGUUGCCGUUAAUUUCUCGUUUUUCAUUGAACAAUUGUGAAACUUCUCUUGUACUCAUAUAGUAAAACUUCUAAUGUAUCGAGAUGGUCGAAUUAUUUAUAUGCACGUACGUGCACAUGCACAAAACUCUCAGAUCUUUAUAACUGAUUUGAACUAGUAUGAAAUGGACUGAACGUUAUAAGAUAGUUAUAUAUUCACACGCUACACAGUUUGUAAUGGUCAAAACAACUUGUACUGAAAUAGAUGUCACCACUUACUAAAUGGGGUUAUGUUUGGGGAACAUCUGUAACGGUCCCCGUUACAAUAAGUACUAGUUUUGUACAUCCUUUUCUGCUAUUUUUAAGCAUGCCUUUAGAUUUAGAAAAUCGUUUCUACGAUUUAGAAAAUCGUAGAAACGAUUUAAAAAGUCGUUUCUACGAUUUACAAAACCGUAGAAACGAUUAAAAAAAGUUUAAACGAUUUAGAAAAUCGUACAAACGAUUUAUUAAAUCGUAGAAACGAUUUAAUAAGUCGUUUCUACGAUUUAGUAAGUCGUUUCUACGAUUUAUUAAAUCGUAGAAACGAUUUUAAAAGUCGUUUCUACGAUUUAAAAAGUCGUUUCUACGUUUUAAUAAAUCGUAGAAACGACUUUCUAAAUCGUAGAAACGACUUUCUAAAUCGUAGAAACGACUUUUUAAAUCGUAGAAACGAUUUAAUAAAUCGUAGAAACGACUUUCUAAAUCGUAGAAACGACUUUUUAAAUCGUAGAAACGAUUUAUUUUUAUUUUUUCUGCUAGGUAAAUUGGCGCGAAUACGCCGUCGUAAUGUACAGUCACUGGAAUAAUCCUGAUUAAAUUUUAUCUUUCUUGUCGAUAUCACUGACGCGGAUGAGGUGAUAAUUGCACAUAUCAAACAUGUGAUCGCUAUUUUAGAUUGUACCAUGCUUUGAUCAUAAAUACCUGUAUAUAUAAGUAUAAUAACUGUGAAAAAGAAAACAAUACUUCUUGUUAGAUACAAAGAUUUGUUUAAUAUCGUUUAAAAAACACCAUUCUCUUCGUAAAAUCAUGCAUAGAAUGAAGAAUGUCCGUUUUCGGUUUUCUAUAAAACAUCGCAAUCCGGGACAGUCGGGAGUCGGCAGUACUAGAUUUACCGCCCACCGCGAUAAUUACAUUCCGUGAAAGCUGAACCAACAAAGAAACAUCAUUGUUCUAGCCAGUUUGCUUAUAUUAACUUUUAGGAAAACCAAGAGGUUGAUAACAAUGGCUGAUCUGCAUAUAAUGACUGCUAGUUAUUGGCUGGUAUGCAGUGAAAGGGAGCUAAAAAGGAGUAAAAAGUUCAUAUCAGCCAGGUAGUGUGGCUUAAAUAAACCAGUGUUAAGGAAUAUCCAGUAAUGGCAUGACAUCAUGAGAGUUUGGCAUACCGACAUUCAGAUGAUUAAUGAUGAAACUGAAGACCUCAAGUGAAAGGCAUGGAAAAUGAUCCUGUUCCCAUAUACCUGAAAAAGAGGAGGGAUGCCACAAUAUUGAUAAUAGACUUUUGUCAAUUUGAGAAGCAAAGAUGUAAAAAAAAAAAAAAAAAAAAAAAAAAAAAAAAAAAAAAAUGCUGAAAUUAUAAUUCAUGUAUUUGUUAAAAAUACUGUUCACUGUACAUACAUGUAUAUUUUUUUUAACUUAUUUGGAAAUACAUGAAGUAAUUCAUAUUAAAACUGGGAAUGUAUGAGUUUUCAUGAUUUUUAUCAAUAAAGCUUACCAUAUUUAU